Long non-coding RNA from Gorilla gorilla gorilla (western lowland gorilla), 1540 nucleotides. RefSeq lists it as uncharacterized. Lineage: Eukaryota; Metazoa; Chordata; Mammalia; Primates; Hominidae. The transcript has 4 exons. The record is from RefSeq and is a predicted model, not a curated record.
CCAACGCGCCUUCCGGGUAGCCAUCGCCGAAACGGGGUUUGCUCUGAAGAGUGUUGUUAGGUAGACUCGCCGUGCACAACCUCGUUAUUCUGUGCUAGACAACCAAUGAGUGUACGUUAUCGGUGUAAGGACGUGGUUGAAUGUAGCCGAACUUAAGUGGUCCGAGGGUUCUGGCUAAGGGCGAGACUACAAGUCCCAGCAUACAACGCGGCCCUCCGUCGCGCCGCUCCCAGCAUGUAGUGCGUGGUUCCCUCCUGCUAACCCUGAGGCUUACGACGAAUUGCGUGAGUUUUACUCAUGCUGUCUCCGCGCGGUUCUAGUAAAUCUUCGUCGCCACCCCCAAAAUCCUGGCCGCAGUCUCACUUUCUCUUAGGCUGAUUCCCCACCCGCCUCCUCUAACAAGACUCAGUUCUCCUUUUUUUCUUGACAGAGAGUCUCGCUUUGUCCCCAGGCUGGAGUGCAGUGGCGCGAUCUCAACUCACUGCAACCUCCUCCUCCCGGGUUCAAGCAAUUCUCUGCCUCAGUCUCCCGAGUAGCAGGGAUUACAGGCGCGUGCCACCACGCCUGGCUAAUUUUUUUGUAUUUUUAGUAGAGAUGGGGUUUCACCAUCUUGGCCAGGCUGGGUCUUGAACUCCUGACCUCGUGAUCCACCCGUCUCGGCCUCCCAAAGUGCUGGGAUUACAGGCGAGAGCCACCGCGCUGACCUCAGCUCUCUCCUUAAGCGUGUUAGCCUUCUCCAAACCUGCAGUGAACUUGCUGGUUCAGAAUGGGAGCCGUGCUGCCCAAAAACUAAAUUAGUAAAACUUGUGAGCGCCUACUGUGUGUCAUGCAUGUUCUAGAAUAUCUGGGAUACAGUGAUGCAUGAUACACCAUCCCUGCUCGGGAGGAGCAAACAAUGACUCGAGAGAGGCUCCUUAGCAACUAACAAUGUUAAAUGCUAUCACAGGAAUAAGCACUGUUACAGUCAUACAAGGUGAAGGAGUCAUUCCAUUUCUAAAAUGGGAGAGAGGAAGUUUGGGAUGUCAGGGCUUCUAAGAGGGAUAGCAGGAAAGCUGAUUGUUGGGGAGCCAGUAUUUUCUAUUAUGAAGCAGAGAACUCUUGAGGAGUGGAGUGGAUGAUGACUGGAGUGCAGUGGCACGAUCACAGAUAACUGCAGCCUCGACCUCUUGGGCUCAAGGGAUCCUCCUGUCUCAGUCUCUCAAAGUUCGGGAUUACAGACCUGAGCCACCGCGCCUGGCCGGAUGCAGAACGCCUGGCCCGAUGCAGAGGCUUUUGAGAAGAGGUAGAUAGUGCUGGAAGGCGUGCUAGGUACACCGCAAAGACUCCACAGCAAAUCCUGCACACAAAAUCGCGAAUGCUGCAGCCCAGACCCCACGCAAGCACCGCAGGAGACGUGGGCUGACAGCUGCGCCCCACGUGACCUCCCACUCGCGCCAGUCCGUCCCCUCGGUAUCAGGGCGUGGCCUCGCGGGGCGGCCGUACCUGGAUUGGCCGGGAGGCGGGACCGGUGGUGCGCGCGCGAAAGGAGAGGGGCUUGGGG